AGCGAACGUUAGCGGCGGGCCUAACACAUGCAAGUCGAACGCGAAAGGUCUUCGGACUGAGUAGAGUGGCGCACGGGUGAGUAACACGUAGGUAAUCUACCCUUUGGCGGGGGAUAACGUUCCGAAAGGAGCGCUAAUACCGCAUAAGACCACGGAGUCUCCGGACGCUGUGGGAAAAGGUGGCCUCUUCUUGAAAGCUACCACCGAAGGAUGAGCCUGCGUCCCAUCAGCUAGUUGGUAAGGUAAUGGCUUACCAAGGCGAAGACGGGUAACUGGUUUGAGAGAAUGAUCAGCCACACUGGCACUGGAACACGGGCCAGACUCCUACGGGAGGCAGCAGUGAGGAAUAUUGGGCAAUGGGCGAAAGCCUGACCCAGCCACGCCGCGUGAGUGAUGAAGGCCCUCGGGUCGUAAAGCUCUGUGGAGAGGGACGAAAACCCUGGUUUCAAAUAGGCUCCAGGCUUGACGGUACCUCUUUAGCAAGCACCGGCUAACUCUGUGCCAGCAGCCG
This 511-nucleotide ribosomal RNA is filed under the name uncultured bacterium. RNAcentral describes it as "bacterial SSU rRNA". It matches the Rfam family "Bacterial small subunit ribosomal RNA", at positions 29 to 517 of the family's 1533-position model. The record is from RNAcentral.